RNAcentral lists this ribosomal RNA (770 nucleotides) under uncultured bacterium. RNAcentral describes it as "bacterial SSU rRNA". It matches the Rfam family "Bacterial small subunit ribosomal RNA", at positions 40 to 820 of the family's 1533-position model. The record is from RNAcentral.
CGGCGUGCUUAACACAUGCAAGUCGAACGAUGAACCAGGGGCUUGCCCUUGGGGAUUAGUGGCGAACGGGUGAGUAACACGUGAGCAACCUGCCCCUCACUCUGGGAUAAGCGCUGGAAACGGCGUCUAAUACUGGAUACGAGGCACAACCGCAUGGUUAGUGUCUGGAAAGAUUUUUUGGUGGGGGAUGGGCUCGCGGCCUAUCAGCUUGUUGGUGAGGUAAUGGCUCACCAAGGCGUCGACGGGUAGCCGGCCUGAGAGGGUGACCGGCCACACUGGGACUGAGACACGGCCCAGACUCCUACGGGAGGCAGCAGUGGGGAAUAUUGCACAAUGGGCGGAAGCCUGAUGCAGCAACGCCGCGUGAGGGAUGACGGCCUUCGGGUUGUAAACCUCUUUUAGCAGGGAAGAAGCGAGAGUGACGGUACCUGCAGAAAAAGCACCGGCUAACUACGUGCCAGCAGCCGCGGUAAUACGUAGGGUGCAAGCGUUAUCCGGAAUUAUUGGGCGUAAAGAGCUCGUAGGCGGUUUGUCGCGUCUGCUGUGAAAUCCCGAGGCUCAACCUCGGGCCUGCAGUGGGUACGGGCAGACUAGAGUGCGGUAGGGGAGAUUGGAAUUCCUGGUGUAGCGGUGGAAUGCGCAGAUAUCAGGAGGAACACCGAUGGCGAAGGCAGAUCUCUGGGCCGUAACUGACGCUGAGGAGCGAAAGGGUGGGGAGCAAACAGGCUUAGAUACCCUGGUAGUCCACCCCGUAAACGUUGGGAACUAGU